RNAcentral lists this unclassified non-coding RNA (330 nucleotides) under soil metagenome. RNAcentral describes it as "partial contains 5.8S ribosomal RNA, internal transcribed spacer 2, and large subunit ribosomal RNA". The stretch from base 5 to 119 matches the Rfam family "5.8S ribosomal RNA", at positions 40 to 154 of the family's 154-position model. The record is from RNAcentral.
GAUGAGAACGUAGCGAAAUGCGAUACGUAAUGUGAAUUGCAGAUUUCAGUGAAUCAUCGAAUCUUUGAACGCACAUUGCGCCCGCCAGUAUUCUGGCGGGCAUGCCUGUUCGAGCGUCAUUUCAACCAUCAAGCGCCUCGCUUGUGUUGGGGCCCUGCGGCUGCCGCAGGCCCCUAAAUCCAGUGGCGGGCUCGUCGUCGUACCGAGUGCAGUAAACAUCCUCGCUCAGGGAACCCGACGGGUGCCGGCCGUGAAACCCCCCCUCCUCAAGGUUGACCUCGGAUCAGGUAGGAAUACCCGCUGAACUUAAGCAUAUCAAUAAGCGGAGGA